This 373-nucleotide unclassified non-coding RNA is filed under the name fungal sp. RNAcentral's name for it is "partial internal transcribed spacer region". The stretch from base 1 to 46 matches the Rfam family "Eukaryotic small subunit ribosomal RNA", at positions 1786 to 1831 of the family's 1831-position model. Lineage: Eukaryota; Fungi. The record is from RNAcentral.
AAGUCGUAACAAGGUUUCCGUAGGUGAACCUGCGGAAGGAUCAUUAUUACGAGAGAUCAAAAUCGUAACCCAACCGAAAAUUGUGCAUUCAGUACCUCCCGGUAGCAUUUGACCUUUGGAAAUGAAGGCUUCUUUGGUAUGCUAUACGUGUAUCAAAGGCACUUCGGAGCAGAUGAAGUGAACAGCCUCCAUUUCUGUCAAAUGUUUCAACUACCGGUUAUCUCAAUCUGCUCAUUUUCUCAAAUCAAACCAUUAACCCCAUGUAACUAUUUGAAACUAAAUAACAUCUGCUUUUGUGGCUGCAAAGCGUACAAAAGCUGAAUCAAAAAACCGAACUUAAGAACAACUCUUAACAACGGAUAUCUUGGUUCUC